RNAcentral lists this ribosomal RNA (773 nucleotides) under uncultured bacterium. Its description in RNAcentral is "bacterial SSU rRNA". It matches the Rfam family "Bacterial small subunit ribosomal RNA", at positions 8 to 798 of the family's 1533-position model. The record is from RNAcentral.
AGAGUUUGAUCCUGGCUCAGGACGAACGCUGGCGGCGUGCUUAAUACAUGCAAGUCGAACGGAAAGGCCCUUCGGGGUACUCGAGUGGCGAACGGGUGAGUAACACGUGGGUGAUCUGCCCUGCACUUUGGGAUAAGCCUGGGAAACUGGGUCUAAUACCGAAUAUGACCAUGCGCCUCCUGGUGUGUGGUGGAAAGCUUUUGCGGUGUGGGAUGGGCCCGCGGCCUAUCAGCUUGUUGGUGGGGUAAUGGCCUACCAAGGCGACGACGGGUAGCCGGCCUGAGAGGGUGACCGGCCACACUGGGACUGAGAUACGGCCCAGACUCCUACGGGAGGCAGCAGUGGGGAAUAUUGCACAAUGGGCGCAAGCCUGAUGCAGCGACGCCGCGUGAGGGAUGACGGCCUUCGGGUUGUAAACCUCUUUCAGCACAGACGAAGCGCAAGUGACGGUAUGUGCAGAAGAAGGACCGGCCAACUACGUGCCAGCAGCCGCGGUAAUACGUAGGGUCCGAGCGUUGUCCGGAAUUACUGGGCGUAAAGAGCUCGUAGGUGGUUUGUCGCGUUGUUCGUGAAAACUCACAGCUUAACUGUGGGCGUGCGGGCGAUACGGGCAGACUUGAGUACUGCAGGGGAGACUGGAAUUCCUGGUGUAGCGGUGGAAUGCGCAGAUAUCAGGAGGAACACCGGUGGCGAAGGCGGGUCUCUGGGCAGUAACUGACGCUGAGGAGCGAAAGCGUGGGGAGCGAACAGGAUUAGAUACCCUGGUAGUCCAA